RNAcentral lists this non-coding RNA (50 nucleotides) under Prorocentrum micans. The record is from RNAcentral. Lineage: Eukaryota; Dinophyceae; Prorocentrales; Prorocentraceae.
UAACGGCAUGAAAGUUUUUUUUUUUUUUUUUUUUUUUUUUUUUUCCAUUU